UAGCGUAUAUUAAAGUUGUUGCAGUUAAAACGCUCGUAGUCGGAUUUCGGGGCCUGCCUGCCGGUCUGCCGAUGGGUAUGCACUGGCAGGCGCGUCCUUCCUUCCGGAGACUGUCCCUACUCUUAACUGAGCGGGGUCGGGAGACGGAUCGUUUACUUUGAAAAAAUCAGAGUGUUUCAAGCAGGCAGCUCGCUCUUGCAUGGAUUAGCAUGGGAUAAUGAAAUAGGACUUUGGUGCUAUUUUGUUGGUUUCGAACACCGAAGUAAUGAUUAACAGGGACAGUCAGGGGCACUCGUAUUCCGCCGAGAGAGGUGAAAUUCUCAGACCAGCGGAAGACGAACCACUGCGAAAGCAUUUG
This 358-nucleotide ribosomal RNA is filed under the name Haptolina sp. Its description in RNAcentral is "partial small subunit ribosomal RNA". It matches the Rfam family "Eukaryotic small subunit ribosomal RNA", at positions 595 to 957 of the family's 1831-position model. Lineage: Eukaryota; Haptophyta; Prymnesiales; Prymnesiaceae. RNAcentral also lists the same sequence under 1 other name. The record is from RNAcentral.